AUAAAACAUAAUAAAGGAUGUUACAGGAUAGUGGACAUUCAACAGCAGAUGGUAAUUGCUGGACUUCUGAUGGGAGAGUUACAUCGUUGUACAGAGCCAAGAGCCAAGCCAAGACUGAGAGACCUCGUGUCCCUCUGUUACUAUAUAGAUGUGCUAAUACUAACGUCAUCAUAUAACUCUAGCCAUAUAAGGACAAACCCCCCACAUCCACAUUCCAGAGCUCUCGGACAAAGAAAGCCUUGUGACUUAUUGAUACCAUCUGUUACUUAUGCCAAUCCACACAUCCAUA
Molecule: non-coding RNA, 289 nt
Organism: Pelobates cultripes (western spadefoot toad)
Lineage: Eukaryota; Metazoa; Chordata; Amphibia; Anura; Pelobatidae
Source: the annotation of a GenBank genome assembly